UACGUAGGUCCCGAGCGUUGUCCGGAUUUAUUGGGCGUAAAGCGAGCGCAGGUGGUUUAUUAAGUCUGGUGCAAAAGGCAGUGGCUCAACCAUUGUAUGCAUUGGAAACUGGUAGACUUGAGUGCAGGAGAGGAGAGUGGAAUUCCAUGUGUAGCGGUGAAAUGCGUAGAUAUAUGGAGGAACACCGGUGGCGAAAGCGGCUCUCUGGCCUGUAACUGACGCUGAGGCACGAAAGUGCGGGGAUCGAACAGG
This 252-nucleotide ribosomal RNA is filed under the name uncultured bacterium. RNAcentral's name for it is "partial 16S ribosomal RNA". It matches the Rfam family "Bacterial small subunit ribosomal RNA", at positions 524 to 776 of the family's 1533-position model. The record is from RNAcentral.